Dreissena polymorpha is the source of this 4156-nucleotide long non-coding RNA. RefSeq lists it as uncharacterized. The transcript has 3 exons. NCBI's taxonomy places the organism in Eukaryota, Metazoa, Mollusca, Bivalvia, Myida, Dreissenidae. The record is from RefSeq and is a predicted model, not a curated record.
AUAAAUGUUGCAUACUGUGAUUUAUAACUGCUGUUAAGAGUAUUUUUAUUUGUGUUCAUUAACGUUGGACUGUGACUAUUUUUGUUUCGGUAGACAUCGACGAGUGUGCAAAUGAUCCGUGCCAGAAUGGAGCCACGUGCAACAACCUUAUCAACGUCUACACGUGCACAUGUGCGUCCGGGUAUGGGGGACUCAACUGUGACCAAGACAUUGACGAAUGUGCAAGUGAUCCGUGCCAGAAUGGUAGCGGGUGCAUUGAUUUUAUCAACGGGUACUACUGUUUGUGUGCGGCCGGAUAUGAGGAACCCGACUGUCAAUUUGAACUAAAAAACGAAAACUUAAAUUACUUCGAACUCGGAAGAUAAGUGCAGACCAGACGAUCAGUGUCUUCUUUUGAUUGAAAAAGAUGGAAACUGCUUUUUCCGGUGUAUUGCGGCUGGAAUAUUCGAUGAUCCCGAUACACAUGAACUUGUAAGAACUUCUGUAACUAAUCACACGCUGGACAACGAAUCCACUUACAAGAACUAUAUUGAUGGUGAUUACGGUGUGCACAUAACCUGCAUGAAACAAAGCGAUCGCAACUCUCGCUUUUGGGCUACAGAGGCGGAAAUAUUAGCGGCUCCAACAUUAUACGACGUAGACAUAUACGUGAAACAAUACAGCAAUGGAUGCUUAAGUUGGCUGCGAUUUUCUGUCGAAAGAGAAUCGCGAAACCGAAAUGUCAUUUAUAUGCGGCUUGAACACCAGCACUUUGACUUUAUUCGGCAGCAUGAAAGACCUACGUCCGUGAUUACAAAAGAAACAACACUCUCCUCGGAGGAAAUGCAGACCACACGGUGCAUGGCAACAACAAAGACGAAACAUGACGAAAACAAAAUGAGUGUUGUUACCAACCUGUCAAAGAAGACGUUAACUGAUGCUCAAAUAUCCCUGCUGUCGAAAGGACUGAAGUUCAUACCGACUAGAAAAACAAUAGACAAAGGAAAAUUACUGACACACUUGUCAGCGUGGGAACGCCGUAUGCGCUUAAAAGAAUAUUUCUAUGCAGAAGACGCUGAACAUAGAACCACGGAAGAUGAGCAUCAAUACAAAAAGAAGACCUCGACGUGGACUCCAAAGGCUGGCCGCGACAAAUGGUUUGACAAAUAUAUACAAGCGGUCAAAGACGACAUCAUUUGCGGAUUAAAACGAAACUUUAAAUUUAAUCUAAGCAAAUCGGAAGAAUAGGCAAUCAAAGAAUUACUCCACGACGACAACAUCGUUAUUCGGCAUGCCGACAAGGGGUCGGGGAUAGUGAUAAUGGACAGGGAAGACUAUGUCAAAAAGCUGAAGUGUGAAAUGUCGGACAGUAACACAUACGUCGACGUGACGGAUGAUAGAACAAGAAUAAUGGAUUACAAAGUGAAAAAUGUGACCGACACUCUUUACAAGAAGGGGUCGAUCGACAGUGACCUAAGAAGGUAUCUCACCAGCAGCGGUGGGACUUCCGGUAAGCUUCAGGGCAACCCGAAGCUUCAUAAACCUGGGAUGCCUCUCCGCACUAGUGUAAACGGCUGUAAUCACCCGACAGAGAAGAUGGCGGAAAUAGUGAAGAAAAAACUGCGCGAUCAUGUGACGUCACUUCCGUCGUAUGUGAGAGACACAACCGACUAUCUAAACAAAAUAGCACAGAUACAGCAGCCGUUACCAGACGGUACCAUCAUAUAUUGUUUGAAUGUAAAGGCUCUUUACCCCUGCGUACCAAGAGAAGAGGCCCGUGCUGCAGUAACUGAAGCUCUCUAUCGGCGAGUGCAACCGGAAGUUCCAGCCAACGACAUGAUUAUAAUGAUGGACACUGUCCUAGAUAACAACACCAUUUCAUUCAAUGGAGACCACUACAUGCAAAAUGAAGGAACUGCCAUAGGAUCGCACUAAGGUAUGAACUACGCGUCGACCUACAUUGGAGCCUGGGAGAAAGAAUUAUUUUCGAAAUCAAAUAAACAUCCAAUAGCUUACUUCCGGUUCGUUGAUGAUGUUUGGGGCUUGUGGACACAUGGUUUAAAGGCACUAAAGACAUUCCACGCGUUUGCAAAUACAAUCCAUUCACGGAUACAGCUCGAGCUCCGCUACUCCACAGAGCAGCUCGAAUUCCUAGACACGUUGACGUCAAUUCGAACAGGAAGGCUGGUUUCAGACUUAUACACCAAUCCAGCAGAUAGGCACCUCUACCUGCACAAGGACUCGUCUCAUACCGAGUCUACGAAAAAGGCCAUUCCGUACGGCUUAGGUGUGAGGCUGAAACGAAUAUGUUCGGAAGAGACAGACUACAAAAAACACAGAGAUGAAAUCAAAGAACAACUACUGCAGCGAGGAUACAAUGGCCGAUUCGUCGAGACAGAACUGAAGAAAGUUGAUAGCAAGAAGCGAGAAGAUCUGCUGCGUACAGAGGUGUCUUCAAAAAGUACUUCCAGGGUACCGCUCGUUAUCACUUUCUCCAGAGCGCUACCAAAUGUCGGCCAUAUCCUCCGGAAACAUCUGCCCACACUCCACACUUCCGAUCGUAUGAAAAAUGUAUUUCCUGAACCCCCGUUAGCAGCAUUCAGAAGAGACUGCAACCUGGAAGACAUAUUGGUUCAUAAAAAACACAACCGAAUGUUUUUCCUUGUUUUAAACAGGAGCGGACCUAUCGGGGCGCAGAGGUGCACAAACUGUCCGUACAUGAUGGAGGCCGAAAGGUUAAGCGAUACCACCGGCAAAAGCUAAAAUGUGCGGAACGAGGUCACCUGCAAAUCCACCAAUGUAGUCUACGCUGUACACUGCGAACGAUGUAAGACCUGUGUAUACGUAGGGGAAACGGGAGAUACCCUGUACCAGCGAAAUCUCCUUAACAUGUCCCGGAUACGAACUCGACACAAUGACCAGGUUGCCGAGCACUUUUACACGAACGGCCACACGAUUUUAAAUAAUCGUGGAAACUAUUUGGUGAGUUUAUUUUAAAGUGAAAUAUAAAAAUUGGUAUCAAAAUUGUAAUGAUAUGCACAACGCCAAUCAGACAACAUAGACAAUUGAAGAGCAACUUAAAACAACGCCUAACAGACUACAUAGACACUUGAAGAGCAACUGAAAACAACGCCUAACAGACUACAUAGACACUUGAAGAGCAACUGAAAACAACGCCUAACAGACUUCAUAGACGCUUGAAGAGCAACUGAAAACUACGCCUCACAGACUACAUAGACACUUCAAGAGCAACUGAAAACAACGUCUAACAGACUACAUAGACACUUGAAGAGCAUCUGAAAACAACGCCUAACAGACUUCAUAGACACCUGAAGAGCAACUGAAAACAACGCCUAACAGACUACAUAGACACUUGAAGAGCAACUGAAAAGAACGCCUUGCAUAUAACAUAGACACUUGAAGAGCAACUGAAAACAACGCCUAACAGACUACAUAGACACUUGAAGAGCAACUGAAAACAACGCCUAACAGACUACAUAUAAACUUGAAGAGCAACUGAAAACAACGCCUAACAUACUAUAUAGACACUCGAAGAGCAACUGAAAACAACGCCUAACAGACUUCAUAGACACUUGAAAUGCAACUGAAAACAACACCUAACAGACUAUAUAUACACUUGAAGAGCAACUGAAAACAACGCCUAACAGUCGACAUAGACACUUGAAAAGCAGCUGAAAACAACGCCUUACAGACUACAUAGACACUUGAAGAGCAACUGAAAACAACGCCUCACAGACUACAUAGACACUUGAAGAGCAACUGAAAACAACCCCUAACAGACUACAUAAACACUUGAAGAGCAAAUGAAAACAACGCUUUACAGACUACAUAAACACUUCAAGAGCAACUGAAAACAACGCCUUACAUACUACGUAGACACUUGAAGAGCAACUGAAAACAGCGCCUUACAGACUACAUAGACACAUUGAAGAGCACUUGAUAUCAACGUCUAACAGACUACAUAGACACUUGAAGAGCAACUGAAAACAACGCCUUACAGACUACAUAGACACUUGAAGAGCAACUGAAAACAACGCCUAUCACACUACAUAGACACUUGAUGAGCAACUGAAAACCUGUUGCGCGCACUGAUUGUCAUGCAUACGAACAUUUUGAUUUGUUUUCAUAACUUGAUUAAAUGAUAUGAAUUCAGUAA